GCAAUUCACACCGGGAGAAAAGGUACUUUUAUUACUUCCAACUCUAAACUAAGCUAAGUGGCAAGGGCCCUUUGAGUUGUCACACGGAAGGUGGGGGAUGUUGCAAAUAUACCACCUAAACCUCCUGAAAGCCUCGAGGGAGGUGGAGUCUGUUUCUCUGGUGUCCGCGGUAUCAGAAAAAAAGAGCUAGGGCCGGAGGUGGCAAAAGCGGUUAAUCCCACCCCACCCCGCUCUCGUGCGAGGCCCGUCUCUCCGAGGACCAGAGAACGGUUUAUCGUGGACUAUGGCAGGGUGAACGAGGUGUUACAAUUUGAUGCCUACCCAAUGCCCCGGGUCGACUAACUCCUGGACUGGCUGGGCACUGCAUGUUUCUUUACGACCCUGGAUUUGACUAAGAGCUACUGGCAGAUUCCUCUGUCGUCAGAGUCCAAGGAAAAAACUGCUUACUCCACUCCGUAUGGGUUAUACCAAUUUACCACACUUCCCUUUGGCUCGUUCGGUGCCCCGGCCACGUUUCAACGGUUCAUGGACUGGGUACUGCGUCCACACGCCGCCUAUGCUGCCGCCUACUUGGAUGAUGUUGUUAUUAUCCACAGCACCACCUGGGCGGAGCACGUGUGGCGGGUAGGUGGGGGAAGUGUGCAGUUGAAGGGAGGUACGGUAUUUGCGGUACCACUUGGGGGGCGGGCAGGCGUGCACUCAGGUGGACAAGACGCCAGCUAUCGCGGCCUGCCCACGACCCAAGACUAAAAAAGAGGUUAGGUGGUUUUGGGGCAGGCGGGGUAUUACAGGCGCUUCAUCCCCGGCUUUGCGGACUUCACCAGCCCCUUGACUGAUCUGACCCGGAAAGGUCAGUCAGAUCCAGUGGUCGGAGCCAGCAGGCGUUUGAGAAGGUAAAGCAGACUCUCUGUGGGGAACCACUCCUCUACACCCCUAACUUUUCUUUUCCCUUUACUUUGCAGACAGACUCAUCGGACAAGGGGCUGGGUGCCGUUUUGUCCCAGGAGGUGGGGGGGGAGAGUUGACUGCCCCGUGUUAUAAAUCAGCCGGAGGCUGUCCGAGUGGGAGGCCAGGUACAGCACGGUGGAGUAGGAGUGCCUGGCCAUCCAGUGGGCGUUGGACUCCCUGCGCUACUACCUCCUGGGACGUCAUUCACCCUCUGUUCGGACCACGACCCGCUCCCCGCAUGAAGGAUACCAUACUAAUCUCCGCUCCCUCUUUUUUAAAUUGGUUCUGUUCAACCCUCUUUAAUGUUUUGUGUCUGUCUUUUUUGUUUUAUUUUUGUGUGAACUUUGUGGGAAUCGUAUUGCAUCUGUAAGUGUCGGUAUUGUUAAUAUUUCUUCUUUUAUCUGGCCGUAGAGUCGAUCAUGCCCGUUCCUGUGAACACCAAAUUGACUUGAGAAUCCUCAAGCUGAAAUAACAUCACCUGCCCAAAGUUCCAGUUUCCUGAAUACAAAGCCCUCUGUUUGGGAAUUUAUCCCACCUGACGAGUCUCGACGCAGUGACUCAAACAUCUUUGUCAAGGUUAAUUACAGAGGAUCAUUGCAGUCCAAAUUGAACACUGACUGGUCAACAUGAGUCGUCAAGUGCAUGUGUGUGACUCCCCACCGGGUUGUGUGACCUCCUCAGUCAAGUCUGGACUCAGUGAUUCAUUACUCUUGAUCAUGUUUACUCAUUUAUGGACACAUGCUGUUUUUUGUGUUUAGCUAUAGCUAAAGUUAAAAUCCAUUCCAAAACAAUUGUAUACUGUAUUUUUUGUAAUUGAAUUAUUUUUUCUUUUUAA
Non-coding RNA from Gasterosteus aculeatus aculeatus (three-spined stickleback), 1783 nucleotides. NCBI's taxonomy places the organism in Eukaryota, Metazoa, Chordata, Actinopteri, Perciformes, Gasterosteidae. The record is from RefSeq and is a predicted model, not a curated record.